CCUACGGGAGGCAGCAGUGGGGAAUAUUGGACAAUGGGGGGAACCCUGAUCCAGCGACGCCGCGUGAGUGAAGAAGUAUUUCGGUAUGUAAAGCUCUAUCAGCAGGGAAGAAAAUGACGGUAACUGACUAAGAAGCCCCGGCUAACUACGUGCCAGCAGCCGCGGUAAUACGGAGGGGGCAAGCGUUAUCCGGAUUUACUGGGUGUAAAGGGGGCGGAGACGGUGCAGCAAGUCUGAUGUGAAAGGGCAGGGCCCAACCCCGGGACUGCAUUGGAAACUGUUGAACUGGAGUGCAGGAGAGGUAAGCGGAAUUCCUAGUGUAGCGGUGAAAUGCGUAGAUAUUAGGAGGAACACCAGUGGCGAAGGCGGCUUACUGGACUGUAACUGACGUUGAGGCUCGAAAGCGUGGGGAGCAAACAGGAUUAGAUACCCUAGUAGUC
This 440-nucleotide ribosomal RNA is filed under the name uncultured bacterium. RNAcentral's name for it is "partial 16S ribosomal RNA". It matches the Rfam family "Bacterial small subunit ribosomal RNA", at positions 338 to 795 of the family's 1533-position model. The record is from RNAcentral.